CUACAAACGCUGGCGGUAGGCUAAACACAUGCAAGUCGAACGGAAACGAUGAAAAGCUUGCUUUUCAGGCGUCGAGUGGCGGACGGGUGAGUAACGCGUGGGAAUCUACCCUAUAGUUGGGGACAACAUAUGGAAACGUAUGCUAAUACCGAAUAAGCUCUACGGAGUAAAGGAGCCCACUUCCUGAAAGGUUUCGCUAUAGGAUGAGCCCGCGUUAGAUUAGCUAGUUGGUAAGGUAACGGCUUACCAAGGCCACGAUCUAUAGCUGGUUUGAGAGGAUGAUCAGCCACACUGGGACUGAGACACGGCCCAGACUCCUACGGGAGGCAGCAGUGGGGAAUAUUGCACAAUGGACGCAAGUCUGAUGCAGCCAUACCGCGUGUGUGAAGAAGGCCCGAGGGUUGUAAAGCACUUUCAGUAGGGAGGAAGAUACUAGGGUUAAUACCCCUAUUAUUUGACGUUACCUACAGAAGAAGCACCGGCUAACUCUGUGCCAGCAGCCGCGGUAAUACAGAGGGUGCAAGCGUUAUUCGGAAUUACUGGGCGUAAAGCGCGCGUAGGCGGAUGAUUAAGUCAGUUGUGAAAGCCCUGGGCUCAACCUAGGAACGGCAUCUGAUACUGGUCAUCUAGAGUUUAAGAGAGGGAAGUGGAAUUCCAGGUGUAGCAGUGAAAUGCGUAGAUAUCUGGAGGAACAUCAGUGGCGAAGGCGACUUCCUGGCUUAAAACUGACGCUGAGGUGCGAAAGCGUG
This 749-nucleotide ribosomal RNA is filed under the name uncultured Gammaproteobacteria bacterium. Its description in RNAcentral is "bacterial SSU rRNA". It matches the Rfam family "Bacterial small subunit ribosomal RNA", at positions 26 to 763 of the family's 1533-position model. The record is from RNAcentral. Lineage: Bacteria; Pseudomonadati; Pseudomonadota; Gammaproteobacteria.